UAAGACGAAGGUGGCGAGCGUUGUUCGGUGUUACUGGGCUUAAAGCGUAUGUAGGCGGGAAGGUAAGCGUCUUGUGAAAUCCCUCGGCUUAACCGAGGAAUUGCUCGGCGAACUACCUUUCUUGAGGCAAGUAGGGGUGCGCGGAACUCUUGGUGGAGCGGUGGAAUGCGUAGAUAUCAAGAGGAACGCCGGUGGUGAAGACGGUGCACUGGGCUUGUCCUGACGCUGAGAUACGAAAGCGUGGGUAGCGAACGGGAUUAGAUACCCCGGUAGUCCACGCUGUAAACGAUGUCUACUAGGCUGUGGGAGUUCUGAUGCUGUCACGGCCGAAGCAAAAGUGUUAAGUAGACCGCCUGGGGAGUACGGUCGCAAGGCUA
This 377-nucleotide ribosomal RNA is filed under the name uncultured Phycisphaerae bacterium. RNAcentral's name for it is "bacterial SSU rRNA". It matches the Rfam family "Bacterial small subunit ribosomal RNA", at positions 521 to 896 of the family's 1533-position model. Lineage: Bacteria; Pseudomonadati; Planctomycetota; Phycisphaerae. The record is from RNAcentral.